AUCACUUCUUGGCCUUUUGGCUAAGAUCAAGUGUGAUAUCUGUCUUCUCCAAUAGAUGGAGAUUCAGUGGGAUAGAAGGAGGGAUUAGGGCAGGGGAUGCUUUCUUUGUCCCCACCAUUU
The sequence is a small nuclear RNA, 120 nucleotides long. Its record names the gene U2. It matches the Rfam family "U2 spliceosomal RNA". From Rfam's summary of the family: U2 is a small nuclear RNA (snRNA) component of the spliceosome (involved in pre-mRNA splicing). The record is from Ensembl.